UACAGAGGUCCCAAGCGUUGUUCGGAUUUACUGGGCGUAAAGGGUGCGUAGGAGGUUGGCAAAGUCGGGUGUGAAAUCUCACCGCUUAACGGUGAAAUUGCGCUCGAUACUGGUUGACUAGAGUAUCGGAGGGGAAAGCGGAAUUCCUGGUGUAGCGGUGAAAUGCGUAGAUAUCAGGAGGAACACCUAUUGCGAAGGCAGCUCGCUGGGACGUUACUGACGCUGAGACGCGAAAGCGUGGGGAGCAAACAGG
This 253-nucleotide ribosomal RNA is filed under the name uncultured bacterium. Its description in RNAcentral is "partial 16S ribosomal RNA". It matches the Rfam family "Bacterial small subunit ribosomal RNA", at positions 524 to 776 of the family's 1533-position model. The record is from RNAcentral.